GAGAUGAAAAGAGAGCGAGGCUUACAUGGCGAUGAGAGUGGUAGCUCUGGUAGCCAAGGAUGACUUGCCUGUGUGCUGGCCACGCUCCCCUCAUGCAAGGACCAUCUCGUGUCGACCGACGAGCGAGCGAGCGAUCGAUCGAUGAGAGGAUGACGAAGCUUGGGGUGUACGUUGGUCUCUCACGGGCAGUCUCCUUGGCUAGCCCUGACUCACUCUUACCGCCCAUGCUAGCCUCUGCAUCUCUCGUGUUGCUGUACAGAUUACUGGUCAGUGACCUAGCUAGUAUGCAAGACAAUGCGCUUCGUCAGCAUGUCACGAGCGAUGCACGACAUGCAUGCAUGGACGACGCAUGUAUAUGAAUAUAUUUGAUGAGGGCGUGGCUAUUUUUUCUUCCCCAUGACGGUGAAUCCAAGCCGAACGAGGACACGAGAGAAGGUCGGCGAGCGAGAAGAACUGUCCUGGAUUGAGAGAAGAACUUUCCUGAAGACAGUAUAUAUAUCCAGUUAUUAUGUACUGUACAAUUCAGGUUCCAGCUACCAGCUUCUUUAAUUUAUUAGCAAGAGCACAGCCAGCUCCAAUCGGUUUUCAGUCCACAUUACUGGACCGUUUGUUACACAGCUCCACCUCCCUAGCUUACGUUUAAAGGCUUAUACGUUUAAUCUAUUACAAGCAAAUUAAUUGAGCCAUGUAAAUGUACUAAAUAUGUGUCUCCCUAGCUGGCUAGCUGUAGACCCAAAAUUAAUGUACUAAAUAUGUGUCUCCCUAGCUGUAGACCCAAAAUUAAUUUCAUGGAGCUACAGAUACUCACAU
This is a long non-coding RNA of Zea mays, 810 nucleotides long. RefSeq annotates it as MIR169iHG. The record is from RefSeq and is marked validated. Lineage: Eukaryota; Viridiplantae; Streptophyta; Magnoliopsida; Poales; Poaceae. The transcript is spliced from 2 exons.